This 436-nucleotide ribosomal RNA is filed under the name Boophis quasiboehmei. Its description in RNAcentral is "partial 16S ribosomal RNA". It matches the Rfam family "Bacterial large subunit ribosomal RNA", at positions 2002 to 2597 of the family's 2925-position model. The record is from RNAcentral. Lineage: Eukaryota; Metazoa; Chordata; Amphibia; Anura; Mantellidae.
UCACGAGGAUCCUACUGUCUCCCCCCUCUAAUCAGUGAAACUGAUCUCCCCGUGAAGAAGCGGGGAUAUACAUAUAAGACGAGAAGACCCCAUGGAGCUUUAAACCUGACAGCACCCGCUCAUUCUAUACCCCAUUAUUUGCCCGACCCCUGUCUGCUCAGUUUUAGGUUGGGGUGACCACGGAGUAUAAAAUAACCUCCAUGAAGAAGGGGAUAUUUCCCUUAUUAGAGAACCACACUUCCAAGAACUAAUAAAUUAAUUUUCAAUGACCCGAUACCCGAUAAUCGAUCAACGAACCAAGUUACCCUGGGGAUAACAGCGCAAUCCACCCUGAAAGCCCUUAUUAACAGGUGGGUUUACGACCUCGAUGUUGGAUCAGGGUAUCCCAGUGGUGCAGCAGCUACUGAGGGUUCGUUUGUUCAACGAUUAAAACCCU